Molecule: ribosomal RNA, 288 nt
Filed under: Dietzia sp. MG4
Lineage: Bacteria; Bacillati; Actinomycetota; Actinomycetes; Mycobacteriales; Dietziaceae
Description: partial 16S ribosomal RNA
Rfam family: Bacterial small subunit ribosomal RNA
Source: RNAcentral
CACAUGCUACAAUGGCUAGUACAGAGGGCUGCGAUACCGCGAGGUGGAGCGAAUCCCUUAAAGCUGGUCUCAGUUCGGAUUGGGGUCUGCAACUCGACCCCAUGAAGUCGGAGUCGCUAGUAAUCGCAGAUCAGCAACGCUGCGGUGAAUACGUUCCCGGGCCUUGUACACACCGCCCGUCACGUCAUGAAAGUCGGUAACACCCGAAGCCGGUGGCCUAACCCUUGUGGAGGGAGCCGUCGAAGGUGGGAUCGGCGAUUGGGACGAAGUCGUAACAAGGUAGCCGUA